Molecule: long non-coding RNA, 1382 nt
Filed under: Chrysolophus pictus (golden pheasant)
Lineage: Eukaryota; Metazoa; Chordata; Aves; Galliformes; Phasianidae
Description: lncRNA (ENSCPIG00010003030.1)
Source: RNAcentral
AAGAUAUAAAUGUUGAAAUUGAGACACUGCUCUGCCACUUGACUUCAGUAUCUCGACUAAACUGAUGCCACUGCCUUUGCCAUGGUAAGUAUACACUGAGAAUCCUGCAAAAAUCAAUAGUCUUUCCAUCAAGUCCUACAAGCUGUAAGAUCAUUCUUUUUUUAUCAGAAUUUACUAUAUUCGGUCGUGUAUUAAUGUCUUCAAAUUCCCUUAUUAUCUUUCAGAAAAUAGAUCCUACAUAGGAUCAGUUGGUGCUGUCCCUUCUGCCAGACUUGGUAUUUCUGUUACUGAAGGAAGCUGUGAGAUGCUUGCAGGCUCUGCUGCCUCAGCUCUUUUCACAACAUACUCCAGUUGCUUUGAUUUAUUUGUUGGAAAAAGCUGGAUUCUCUGUGGAAAAUGUCUGCUACAACAGAUGUAGUGAUGCUUGAACAGGAGAUGCAAGUGAGCAUUAGUUAAGGAGCUGAACGGGCUUGAGAGUUAUGGAACAUAAUAGAUGGCAGAGAAACGUGAGCAAUACUAAUGGUACGAGAAGCAAGUCUUCCAGAUGGAGAGUCUGCAAGGGUCAGAACCAGGUGGCUGAAUUCUCACAGGUGAAGUUUUGCAUUAUUUGAUGCUGAAAUAGUACUGGCGCAAGCUGUGUGUAGCAGGACUCUGAAGUAAAUGUCACUCAGAAAAGAUGGCAUUAGGAUUAUGGGGGCAAUCAGUGUUUUUUAUUGAGCAUAGCAGGAAGAAAAUGAAAGCUGUAAAAUGCCAGUGUGGGUAAACAUUAUUCACAUAUGUAGAAUAUGAACUUCUGUCCCUUCUUAAGUACAUAGCAAUGACCGAGCUUUUAUCCUUACCCGCACAUCAUGAGUUUAAGCUGGUUAAAGAGAAACUAACAAGACUAGAGAAUUAAAACGAGAGCAAGUGUUUUUCCAAACCUGCUCUGUAGCAAACAACCCAGCACAGAGGAACCUGCUGUAAUGCCACUGUGACUGGAAAAGGCCAAUUGCUGGUAUGAGCUGCAGGGAGUGGAAUCCAGCAGAAAACACCUCCUGGGGAUGGCUCUCAUUAGGGACACUGCUGCCCAACCCCCUUUGAAGGAACCUGCAAAAAUUUGAAUUUCUGCUUAUAAUUUCCUUCCCUGGAGGGCAGUUACAGUGAAAGCAGUGCACGCAGUCUAUUCCUAUUUGUAAUGCAGCUACUGGUGUUCAGUUCCCACAACCCAGUGUGUCUGAAUAGCACAGCAAUAAUAUCAUAUGCAUAGCUUAGCCCUUGAGAGUAGUUGUAUUGCUGAGACCCUGGAGAGCCAUUCAGGGAUGGAAGAGUUCAUUUUGAAGCUCUGCAAAGGGACUCAUAAUACCAAUAAUAAAUAACACACUGAUCCAUGAAGGUUCUCCCCU